CAUACAAAACAUGUCAUUAAAUAUGUCAUAAACCAUUUGAGAUGAAGAUUAUGGAAGAAAAGUAGGCAUUCACCAUAAAUUGUUAUUUAUCGUAACAGAAUGAUGUUUUUUGCUCACUUCUAAUUUGAAUAGAAGAAAUUGUAUGUAGCCAACUCCAAAUUCCAACCAAUGAACAACACGGUUAUUAGAAGAAAAAAAACAGCUUUGGAAUGUUUUCAAAGUCGACCCCUAGCCGACUCGGUAAAUGAUUUUUGUUAGAAUUUGUGAGAAAUUUAAAAAUAGCCAAAUUUCUAAGUGGUAAUUUAAAAAUAAUAAAGCUUUAAAAGUAAUUAAAAUUUAAAUAUUUUUUAUGUAACGAUAAAUUUGAACGAAUAUACUGUUCAAAAUUCAAAAAAUAUUCCAGCAUAAGUAUACUAAAUGAGAUUUUUUUCUAUCCUAUACCAUAUAUGAAAUCUUAUUACUAAAAAUGUGCAUACUUUCAUUAUUACCCGCCAUGUUUAUAUUUUUACUACAAAAUUUAUACCAUUCAUUAAAUACCCAAUAUUAAGAAUUGAUUCCUUCCAAAUUAGGCGCCUACAAAUCUGGAAAAUUUAUACCAUUCAUUAAAUACCCAAUAUUAAGAAUUGAUUCCUUUAAAAUUAAUCGCCUACAAAUCUGGGAUAAAUAUUUGAAUAGCUUAUUUCUUCCAAGUUAGGUGGCUAAAAAUUUGGGACUAAAUAUUUUUUCAAUAUUUUUUUAAUGGUAUCUACAAACUACUACAUUUAUACUACAAUUAAACUGCAAUUUAUACUGAAAAAAAAUGUUAACUACAAAAUUUUUUCCUAAUCUAUAAAUUUUCUACAAAAAAUCUACAAAUAAACUACAAAUCAGUUUACGUAUUUAUAAAGCAGUAUUGUUUUGAAGGGUAUCUACAAAAUUACUACAUUUAUAUUACAAUUACACUACAAUCUUGACAAAAAAUGUUGACUACAAAAUUUUAUCUUCAUCUACAAAAUUUUUUUAAAAAAAACUACAAAUAAACUGCAAAUCGGUUUAAGUAUUUUAUAAAGUUGUAUUGUUUUUAAGAGUUUCUACAAAAUUAUUACAUUUAUACUACAAAUUAAACUACAAUCUUAUGUGGAAAAAAAAGUUGACAAUAAAAUUUACUCUUCAUCUACAAAAUUUCUACAAAAAAACUAGAAAUAAACUACAAUUGCGCCCACACUGUCACACUUACAAAGAUUCAUGUGGCUACACCAUAAAUUUACAUUUGAGAAUUGUUGAUUGAUCUAUUGAGGAAGUCUUCUGUAUCAUAUAUCUACUCUCGAUCUCGUACUUGUUAAAAUUCAAAACAAUAUCUGACAAUUACCAGAAAUUACAAUAACCAACACAAUGGAUUUCAUAUCGAAUCCCUUUGGCAAAAAAUCUGUUUAUACUGAAUGGGUCUCAUCUUUAAAUUUUUGGAGAAGAAGAACUAAUGGAGAAGAGAAAAAAAUAUGAGGGAGAAAAUGACAGUGGGAUUAGGAGAAAGAAAUGUAGGAAUUAAGGGGAGAGAAACAUGAGAUAUAUGGAUACCUUUAAUUAAGGAGUAAAAUCUGCCCAUUAAUUAGAUCCUUAGUUAAGUAUGGUAUAGAAUUGGUAAUUUGGUACAUGUGUUUGUAAUUAAAUCAAACCUUAAACAUGGAGAGUAAAAAUGUUUUCUAUAUGGUAUAUGAAUAUAAGCAUAAUAUACUGAAGUUCCAGCAUAAUAUGAGUACUAUAUUUACGUCGAUCCCGGUCCCACCAAACUUGUUAAAUGCUGUCGAGGAUUACUCAACGAUUACCAUAAGAAUUACUCAAGUGAAGAUAGGAGCAUGAGGGCGAAAGGUAAAUAAACUCAUCUAAUUUUUCUACUUUUAACUUUUAAAAACAAUAUUAUUAUAUGAGUUAAAACUCUUUAUGUAACAGAAACUGCAUAACAAGUAGAUUAAGUCAUAGUUUUUAUAAUUAAAAUAUUUAGUAUCAUGCUAAAACAUUUAUAAUAAGGGGAAAAUGUUAUUUAACUCUCUAAAUAAUGAGCAUAUAAUACAAAUCUUUGGACAAUAUCCAAAAUAACUGAAAUCCAUACACGAUAUGGUACUAUUUCAGAAACUAAUGUACAAAACGAAGCCAGUGGUAAAUUAUACUACUGUUAACUUAAAAUCUGUCUCGGCUCGAGCUCCUCAGCUAUAAUCACAAGGAGAUAAAAAUCAAUAAAACAAGUAAGUGGGUUGUAUGCUAUCGCCAGUACCUCUUAUCAUCCAUCAACAACUUAUGUACAAAAUUACGUUUGGGGAAGCAGACUAUCUCAGCUUAAAGCAGAUCCCCAGAAUUCCUAAGAAGACUAUGAUUACACUUACAGCUACGAGUGCCUUGGAUAUGUAGAAACUUGAUGAAAAUGAACUCAAUGCUGCCAUCGUUGAAGCUUCAUCAACUGGAAAAUCAUCUGUAUCUUUCACAUUUGCACUCAAGUCUUCAGCCACUCGACCAUACCCUUUAACUUCUUUGCACAUAGUAUCUUGUGUCUUAUCACUGAAGAUAGUAGCUCCAGCAGUAGAACUGCCUUCAACGGAGAAUUUAUCACUCUGCACAUGCCAAUUAUGAUAUAUUUCAAUGUUGUCACCUUUUUGCUUUUUCUUUUCUAUUUAUUAUUUAUUUUUUUUUAUUUUGAGGUGAGGGAUUGGGGAGACUUACCUCAGUCACAGUUAACAGUCCUUUGUAAUUUGCUCCACCCUUAUCAGAAUCAACAGGCACACGACACUCAGCUCUUCCAGCUUGAAGUUUCAUUUGGAAACGGAUUCUUCUAGGAGAAGUUCCUUGCAUUCCAGAUCCAAAAUGCUUGUCAUCAGGUUGAUUCUGCUUGAACCGAGUUCUUAGUUUUAUUCCAGUUCCAAAACCAGAAUCACUGCCUACAGUGCUAUAAGCGCUUGAGUCUUCAACAUUUAGUAAGUAGGGAACCUGCAUUCCACCAGAACCAGCAGACAAAGCAGCAUCUCCAAGGUAGUCAUUGUUAAGGAAGUCGAGAUUCCCUAUCGAGUGAUCAUUGCUAACAUUAGGUGCCGCAAACGCCUCUUCCACUGUAGUUGCAACAGAAUUAACCUCUCUCAUUAGUGCAGUCUUCGCAGAAUUUCCCCACAGCACCUCGGGUUCAAAUAAAUCUGUCCCAACCUGGGAUAAAAGAACAUCAGCAGAAGAUCAGUUUUCCGAGAAAACAAUUAAAUUUUCAAGAAACUGAUGUCUUGAGAUAACUUGCAAUUGCAUGUAAGAGAAAGACACCUACAGAGCUCCACUUACUGGCGCUUGCAUAACUUGUGCCUUCGACUCACUACACAAUCCAAAGUCCUUAACUGGUGAUCUUGUUAUAGUGUUGAUACUGUUUGAUGCAAACUGGACUGUCCUCAAUUCCAGUCCAGAAUCUUCAUAGGAAAGCUCAUCAGAGCUGUCAAGAACUGAGUUGAAAUACUCAUCAAUAUCAAAGGCAUCUGUUCCAUUCUGAAACUGGACAUCCUUUUGAUCAUGGCUCAACUCAACUCAUUAAUAUCAAAGGCAUCUGUUCCAUUCUGAAACUGGACAUCCUUUUGAUCAUGGCUCAUCUCAUUGAUCACAGGAGCAUGCAAGUACGAGGAUCCAAACUCCAACUGCAACUGCGCAUGCAACGGGGAGCAGAUCUUCCAAUCAAGAUGCUGUGGUGAAGGGUCACAAAAGAUUUCCAAUAAUGUCUCUAACUCGGGAUCCAACUAAAAUAUGAAGCCAAAAAAAUAAGUAGAAUAUUAGUUUAAUCAAUUGCUUGCAUGAAAAACUCAACAUUUAAAAUAAGACAUAAAAAAUGUAAUAAGUCUACUUACUGGUACUGAUGUUAUGUCCAACAUCUGAUCUUCAGUAUCAUCAACAGUGCAACUAUCGUCGCGACUGUCAAUAGGUAAUCUUGUGCCAUGUGUUUCGCCUCCAGAAAUUUUUGGUGGAUUGCUUUUACCACUAUCACUUUCCAUGAUUGGAGAUGGAGCCACUGCAUCUGAAAUUUCAUUAUCAGGUGAUUUUCCAACAGCAGGAGAAGAAACAAGCUGUUGAACCUCAUCCAAGUGUGAACUUUCAGCAUUUUCAUCUUGCUUCAACUCAUUCUUCUUAAAUAGACGACAAAGCACAAAGGCUCCCUGCACCAGGAAAAUGUUUACCAAUACAAAUCAUGUUACGUGGCUACAUCACAAACAGGAAUAGAAACAUAAGCUAAUAACGAUCAAAUCUAACAAUGGAGCAUCUGAUCCGCAGUUGUUGACAGGGACAUCUAAACUUUUAAGUUGUCUGAUUUCUGCAAUCAAACCUAUUAAAGCUCUUUUACAGAAUAAACGUGCAAUCAUAUACAAUAAUGGGUUUAGAUGCUCAGCAAAAUCUUUUUGCGGUUAUAAGGACUCUACUUAUGCAUUUAUCAAUCUGAUGCAUCUAAUAUGACAAAACAGUUGGGAUUGCUAGAUAGAUGAUUGUGGGUGAGCCAAACACCCAAUUACGACAUGCUUCUGACAGUAUCUUGGCAUGCUACCAAUGCAAGUAAUCNNNNNNNNNNNNNNNNNNNNNNNNNNNNNNNNNNNNNNNNNNNNNNNNNNNNNNNNNNNNNNNNNNNNNNNNNNNNNNNNNNNNNNNNNNNNNNNNNNNNNNNNNNNNNNNNNNNNNNNNNNNNNNNNNNNNNNNNNNNCCCCCCCCAACCAAAAAAAAAGAAACCAUUUUUGCAAUUCAAGGAUUGUGAUUCAUACAUGAUCUACUAACAGGAUUCGCCAAGUCAAAACACAUACCAUAAACAGAGUUUCUGGUGAACAAACAUACAACAAGAUAUAGCAGAGAAGCCAAUAUUUAACAGCUACUCUUGGAGUAUAUGAGACAUUUCAAAUAUAUAAUGUAGUUACGCUCAAGAAUAUCCAUUUUAAGGUUUUAAAAAAAGGAUUAUGACUAUGAAUUUAUGCUCCCUAAUAUCAUAAGCUACUGUAAUUCGAAAGUUUAAUUCAUACAUGGACUAAGACUUCAUAAAACCAUAUCACAAACAGAAUCUUAUGUCAUAAAUAAUCUUUCCUUUUUGUUCAUCCAAUAUUUAUAAUCUAGUUGUUCUUCAAUGCACAUGCUGAUGAUGAUAUAUUUGGUAAUUUGAAGCUCCAUCAAUUUGAUAUUGAACUGGAUAACUUCAAAAGGAUCCGGGAUAAAGUAAUUUUGAACUCUAUCUCACCCUUUUCCACCAUUAAGUGAUGCUUGAUUGUCAUAGAUAGCAUACAAUUACCAGAGGACAAGAUAGCUUCAUCCUCAUAUAAUUACAUCUCAUCGGCCAAGUCUAAGUGCAAGAGGAUACAUAUGACAAGAAUCCUCUUACUUAUAGGUCUGACAAGUCAAUAAGAAGGAUGGAUAGGUCUGACAAGUCAAAGAGUCGGAUCAGAUAGAAUUAUGGAUUAUAAAAUAACUUAUUGUAAAUUAACUUUGCCUUAUGUAGGAACUUUGCUGUCCAUACGAACGGAGUGUAAAAAUUAUAAAUAAGUAGGUACACCCUACAUUUUGUGGUUCCCAACAGAAAAUAAGAGGACUAACUAUAAGUCUAUACUUUAACUAGCCUAUCAUAUCCCAUUCCAUUUAAGUAAACACUAUUCAUUACAUGUCACCUUAAGACUGUGAUUUCUCUGAGUCAAAAAACCAUCAGAUAUCAACUAUACGUUUCAAGUAGAUUAGAUUAACCUAUGAUUUCACAUAUGUCACAACCAACCUUUUUCAAGCUAAAAUAAAAUUAUCCAAAAACCAAGAUACAUGAAAAAGAAGUUCAAAUUAAAGAGAGAUCAGAGCUUUCACAAGCCCAACCUGUCCAGGCUGUGAACCAUCCAAUGACUUGUCAGUUGCACGAUAUUCAUGAAUCACCCAAUUAGUCCUCUUCCCUUCAGGAGCUCGCCCAAUGUAGUAUACCAAAGUCUUCUUCAUCCCAAUCUUAGCCCCCUUCUUAGUAACUAUAUUCCUAUCUUUACCAGUAGCUUUCCAGUAGCCUCGUUCUGUUGCUCGGUUCAAUCGCUGCCCAUUUUGGUACUUCCGAUCUAUGGGACAGAAGAAGAACCAAUCAUUGUCCUUCGACUCUACCACAGACAAAUCUGUGAAAAUUUGAAACAAUUUAUACAAUUAUGUUCUUUUUUAAUCCUAUGAACUUCAACGCUACAAAGAGAAAGGUUUUUUUUUGUUGUCCGAGUUUCUGAGCUGUAACUACACAGAAAUAAAGUGUGGGUGCAGGGAAAGCUGAACCCUGAAUUCCUUUAAAGUAAAAAAUAAUACAAUAAACAUCAUCAGAGUAUACCAAAUUGAAUCACAUUGGUACAAACGAUAUUUAGUGGAACGAAAACCUUGAUUAUUUUAGCGCUAUCUAGCUUUGUUUAUUCAUUUCAAGACGUCCUACUGAAAAAGAGUAAAAAGCACUCAAAAACAGUGCUAGCACGGUUCUUCCAACUAUGAGGAAGAAAAAAAUUACACUUACAUUUUAAAAAAUCAAAAGUAGGUCAACAGCUGAUCUAGAGCCUCAAAGCUGUUAAUCAGCAUGAGUAAGACUAACUAAGUUACAAUAAUCAAACUUAUUGGCCAAUUCAAAUUGCCCCUUUGCCCCAUCUAAUUAUUACUUUCAAGGGGUUGAAACAUAAUUCAAACCACUUCGCUGACUAGUUAAUGAAUAUUUGUCCUGUCCACCCCCCCCCCCCCCCNNNNNNNNNNNNNNNNNNNNNNNNNNNNNNNNNNNNNNNNNNNNNNNNNNNNNNNNNNNNNNNNNNNNNNNNNNNNNNNNNNNNNNNNNNNNNNNNNNNNNNNNNNNNNNNNNNNNNNNNNCCCUCAACCAAACACCCAAAAUUCGAUUUCUUCAUGAAUUUGAUGACCAGUAGUACAACAGCACACACAAAAAAGAUAACCUAAAAAAUAAAGAAAAAAGCAUUUACAGUAAAAAGGGUGAAAAAGUUGACGAAAACUGACCAGGCAAGUCCGAGGGCUCGAAUUUGCAGACAUCAACUUCUCGAAUGACACCAACUUUGUCGUCACAACCAUUGAUCUUCAAGCGCAAAUAAUGAUUGACAAGCUCCUCAUCCGUGGGCCGAAAACGAUAUCCAACAGGUAAAGUGUUCAAAGGGGGAACUCCCAAGUGUUGGCCCAGCGGAAGUCCGGCGAUCGUAUUACGAUAUCCAACAGGUAAAGUAUUCAAUGGUGGAACUCCCAAGUGUUCCACCGGAAGUCCGGCGAUCGUAUUAUCUCCAGCAAUUACGGCCAUCACCAAAAUUCAAACUUAAAAUAGAAAAACCAAAAAGAAAAAAAAAAGUGAAAGAAUGGACUAUUGAUUUGAGCUGAAUUAGAGAAAAAGAAAUACUAAUAAAAGGAUGUUGAAUGGGUGAUGUGGAGAACCCUUUUAACGAAUUACGAAACGAUUCCUGGAAAAUUCAACAAUAAAGAGGAAACAUCAGAGAAAGUGACAUAUGAGUGAUGUGACUGUGAUUUGUAAGAAACUCAAUACCCAAGCAAAGAUAAACCGUGUUUUAAUUGGAUUCUGCUGCAUAUACCGCGUAGAAUAGUACGAAAAUCACUUUGAUUAAUAUCUUGUGAAACGUAACGAAGAAGAUAAAGGGCAUGUAAGUCAUAGAGCCAAUGGUGUUUGUCCACGUAGGCUUGAUAAUGUCAUUCUCGUAUAUGAUGGCGUACUAUGUUAUGUUUCCGAAAUAAUAAAGGUAAAAGUAAUGCCUGUCGGAUCAAUAAUUUUCUGAAGUCUAUUCAUAAUCCAAUUCCUCUUGAUCAAGAUGCUACGCUGCUUACUAUUAAGAAUGUUCUAGAAAAGUGAAAGCUUGACUCAAAUUUUGAGUGUGUAGUGUAGACAAAAUUAUACAGUAAUGUAUUCGGUUAAAUAGAACUUAUUCGAUUUUGUCAUUUAAUCGAAGACCGAAAAAUCACGUUGAGGGUUAAUCUCGUAGAGGAUUAGGUCGGAGCACGAAAAUAAUAUACCAAGCUCGAGACUCGAGGAGCUCGACGAUAUCGAUGUCAACAACGAUCGAGAUCAUAUGUGGCAGACUUCAAACGAAGCGCAAUAACAGAAAUGCGUGAUGACGGAAAUCCCUAAAUGGAUCAGAUCAAGGAUGAUUGUUUAGGCUAAUCAUAUAAUUUACUUAUGUAAUUAGUGUUAUAUUAUAAUUAGGAAUCUUGUACUAUAUAAAGAGGAGUCCGCAUCAUUUGUAGAUACCGUACAUUCACAAAUAUCCAAGCAGUAUUAUAUUUCUCAGUUUACAUUCUUGUUCAUUAGCUAGUUGUGUCUUUUACUAUUACGGCAUUAAUUUGUCUGAGGGCAUACAAGUUCGAGAGCUUAACUACGUUCUAAAGUCGGUUUGCUUUGUUUUAUUAUCAAUUCCUAUUGUUCAUCUUUAUAUGUGUUCAUUACUAUUAAGUUAAAUCAUGUUAUGGCCUGUAUUUUGGGCCGGGCCCGAGCUUAAACGGGCUGGGCCAAACGAACCCGACUUUGGCGGGCCCAGUCUUUAACGAUCUCGGGCCAAACGGUCCCGGUCUUCACGGUCCCAAUGAGUGGAACCGGCUCAAGGUGGGCCUAAACCCACAUUGUCCCGGGCUUAAUGGGCUGGGCCCACAGGCCUAAUGGGCUUUUUUCGUUUCGGUCUAUUUUUUAAAUUAUUUUAAUCUAAGGCAAUUUCUUGUAAAGUAUAUAUGUAUAUACUAAUAUAAAUUGCUUAUAUAUAUAGUAUGUAUAGUAUGUAUAUAUAAGGGUGUAUUGUGUAUACAUAUAAUUAUAUAUUGCAUUAUCUAAUAUAUAGCUUUUAUAUAUAUCAAAUUUAAACACGAAACAAAUUGCAAACGAAUAUUCAAGGAAAUGUCUUAUAAUUUUUAUUAUUACAACAUUAACAAAGAAUGACAAUAUCUUUCUUAGUCUUCCUCCCCCCAAUGGAAUGAGCACAACAAGGUACUAAUACCACCAUCAAAAGGAAAAAAAUUAAGGAAGAUGUGCCUAAAUAUAAGUUACAUAUUAGUCUAUGUAUUAUCUCUGACAAAUUUCAUAAAUCCUUCAUGGUUCAGAGGAAUUUCCGUUGGUGGUAGUGGAAAAGAGGCUUGUUCAUCACCGCUUCCGGGCGAAGCAGCCCCCGACGCAAGUUCCGCUAGCAUUUCUUCAUAAGGUUCGUCUAUCUCCGGUUAUGAUUCUGCAAGUCCAAAAUUUCUUCUUUCCGAACGGAUCCAAUCUUUGAAGAGUACCGGUUUUUCCAAGCUCUCCGUUGUAGACGCUCUAUGAUCACCAAUUUAAGUCUCGCUUGACUGAAAUCGCUCUCCGAUGCUACCGUUGAAGCUUGAACACUUUAAAAUAUCUCGAGCCAUCCUUGAAAGAACCGGAUAGUGUUUUUGUUUGUCCUUCCACCAUUAAGCUUGAACACUUAAAAUAUCUCGAGUCAUCCUUGAAAGAACCAGAUAGUGUUUUUGUUUGUCUUUCCACCAUUCAAAAAUAUCAAAGGUGCCAUCUGGAUUCUCCGUUUCAAGGCCAUGCGACAAAUAAACUUGAAGCUCAUUUAGUUGUGAACUAUCACCAAAAUUAUCACCUUGAGAACCCCUGAACUCCGUCGAAGAACUAAGGGCUUUUAGGUCUGCAGUUCUUUUAGAUGAUUACGAAUUAGAAGGAGUAGGAGUUAGAACAUUUGGUCUAGCAUGAUCUACAGUAAGUUGAUAAGCAUUAUAAAUUGUUUGAGCAUUUAUUUUAAUUGAGGCUUUUGCAUCUCCAAGUGGAGCAAAUUCCGCAGCUAAAAGUGGUAAAGCGUUAUAAAUGUUUGAAUAUCAAAUGUGAGGACCUCCUAAUUUUAUUGUGGGAUUUAACACUGCAGCAACACCAAAAAUAGGGGGAUAUGAAAAAAAAUAUUUUUUAAACUUAGCUUUCAUAGAAUUAAUAGCUUCUUGAUAAAUUACUCUACCCUCUGAAAAUGUUAUAAAUAAAUCUACAAGUGCUGCAAUAACUAAACAGAUAGAAAUAGUAGGAUAAUAUUGGCCAGAUAAUUUAUUAGUAGCAAUAUGAAAUUGUUUUAAAAAGUCUACAAGCAUUUUAGCAUUACUCCAAUCUUGAUUUAUAAGGUGAUAAUCAUCAUCAUCAUCACCAUCACCUGCACGAGCAUUAUAUGUUGCGCUUAUUUGGGUUCCUAUAUUCACAUGCAACAACUAAACUUUCAUACAUGUAAUUUCAUCUAGUGGGACAAGGUUUAGGAACCUUUCUCCUAUAUUCAUAUGCAACAACUAAACUUUCAUACAUAUAAUUCCAUCUAGUGGGACAAGGUUUAAGAGUCUUUCUUUUUCUAACUCCAAAUUCAUCACAUUUUUUAAAAUAGUCUUUAAGCCUACUUCUACGGUUUGAAUAAAAAAGCCAAUUAAGAUCCAUUUUAACCUUUUCAAUUUCUACAUUUAAAACCUUCAUACUAGCACCGAUGAUUAAAUAGUAAAUAUGAUAAAUACAUCUAAUAUGAAAAUAUUACUAAGUGCAAGAUUUAGUGUAGUUGUAAGCAAGCCUACAAAGUUAGUGUUACUAGAAGCAUUAUCCAUUGAAACCGACAUUAUUUUAUCUCUAAUGCAAAGAUAUCUACAAAUAGCUGCAACUGUUAGCAAUAAACUUACCUGGGUGGCGUGAAUUAAUUAAUCUAUAAGCAAUAAUACACUUUUGCAUUAUCCACUCUGCAUAUAUCCAAUAACUUAUAACAGUUAGAUAAUCACAGUUAUUAUCACUUCUACCAAUAUCAGUAGUAAUAGCAAUGCGACAAUCUAUAUGAGUAAAUAAAUAGUGCAAAUAUUGUUCAUAUUCAUGUUUAUAUUUGUAAAUACCGCUAUUUACAGUUGCGCGGGGCCAUCCUUUAUAAGUAGGAUUAAAAACUCUUCUAAUAUAAUGCACAAAAUGAGGGUUAGAAGGAAAACUAUAUGGUAAGCACAAAACAAUAACCAUUUUUGCCAAUUAUGCACGAUAUUUAUUUGGAUCAUAAUAUUAAAUGCCACCGGUAAUAGUGUUAAUUCCCGGUUGAACUAUAUUUGAACCUGUAGUAGGGUUAACCGUAGUAUCUACACUUCUCCCCUCUUGCGCAGCUUUCAUUUGAAGAAAUCUAGCUUUAUCUCUCGGGUGUUUCUUUAUGUGUCUAGUCAAACUACCCAUACCAUUACGGUCUCCAGUAAAUUUAUGAACCAACAAAGCCCUACAGGUUUUACACUUAGCCUUAUUUUGUUCUCUUUGUUGAGUAAAAAAGUACCAAACAAGAGAUGUUUCGGGUUGUUUAGAAGGUUGUCUACUAAAAGUAGGGGUUAUUACAGCAGGGUCAGGUGGGGCAUCAGUUAGAUUAUUAACAGGACUAGUAUUUAGAAAGUUGUCUAUUAAAAGUAUGGGUUACUACAGGAGGGUCAAGCAGGACAUCAGUUGGGUUAUUAACGAGACUAGUAGGUGUAUCAUCUAAAUCCGGUUGCGUUUCAUCUAAAUCAUCAUUUUUCUCAUCAUUUUCAAAGAUAGUUUCAUUAAGAUAAAUAGCAUUCAUAACUUCUUCAUUUAGUUGUUGACCUGGUGCAACGUCAUGACAAAAUUGACUAUCGAAAAAUUGAAAAUAAGGAUUAUCACUAUCAAGAAUAACAGGUGGAGGAGAAUAGGUAACGGGUCUGGGUCAGGGAGCCGGGGGAAGAUUAGUAUUUUGGUGACUAAAUUCACAAAUUUUAGAUUUUCCUUACCACCAAAUAUUUUUUCAAAGAAAAUGCCAUAUUAAUUAUAAUAAUACAAGUUAAAACAAACAAAGUUAUAAUAUUGAACUUAAGAGUUGGAACGCGUUUACUAAAUUGACGAACAACUUCUUAAAAAUUGAAUAUCGUUGAAGACUUGAAGACUUCAAUUCACCAACUUCACAAUUUUUCACGAAAUUGCAAUAAUAAAAUAAGAAAUUAUAGAAGAAAAUUAGAGAGAGAUUGAUGAAUUUGUGAGUAAAAAUGAAAGUAGGAGGGGGUAUUUAUAGUUGAGAAUUGGAAAAAGGUGUAAUUAUAAAAAGUUUGGUGUUGAAACAAAGUUUGAGGGCCGAAUGGCUACUUUUUAAAGUGCCUAACGAUUGAAAUUGAAGGCCAACGACAAUUUUAAAAAUCUUAACGUUGGUCAAUUUUAAAAAAACAAAUUUUUUUACAAAAUUAGUCUUUGGGGCCCAUUGGGCCCGGUUGAACCGGCCCGGCCCGCCUGUCAGUCAAGAACUAAACGGUCCCGGGCUAUUUGGGUAGGACCGGCCCAUUAUGGGAAUUUUCACCAUGUUAGAGCGACCCGCUUGAGACCGGCCCAUUUGACCUCUUUGGCAUGUGGUAUCGGGCAAGUCCCGGGCUGGGCCCGGCCCACAAUACACCUUAAAUUCACGUAUCAUUAAAUUAUAUUAUAAGUUUAAUAUUUAUCAAAUAUUUAGGAUAAAUAGUUUGGCGCCCAUCGUGGCGCUAAGGAUAACAGUGAUUGCUUAAUAUUGACCUUUAUAACAAACACUACUUUUACGCUUGUUCUCAUAAGUGAUUUUGAUUUCAGGAAUCAACAUGCCGAACUCUCAAGCAGUAUUAGCCUUGGUCUUCAUGGAGAGGACGAGCACGUGGUCACCCAGGGAAACGAAGUAACUCCAAUCAAUCCCGAUGCACCAUAGGACGUAGAUCCAAUCAAUAUCAAUUCUUGAGUCUCCAUUCGUUGUGAUUUAGGUGCUGACCCUAAAAAUAACAUUCGUUGAGAUGCCUAGGAAGCUGAUCAGAACACACAAAGUGGUGAAGAAGGGGGGAUUAGCCUUCUAAUGAUAUUUGACAUGUAUUACAAACUGAGCAGGUUGCGAUAGUGCAACUCCAAAAUUUAAUUCAAGCACCAAGCAAAAGCAAACUCGAUACACCACAGGAAGUUGUUCAUAGGGUCGAACCUAUGUAGGAGAAAUUGAAUGAUAAUGGAUCAGAAACUGACCUCGCCAUCAUGAAGAUGCUCUAGGAGCUCACUAAAUGGAUUGAAUCAAUAGAAAGGAAAAUUGAGGGUAAUGAUAAAAAGGUAGAAAUGUACAACUCACGGCUUGAUCAAAUACCGGGGGCACCCUCGAUUUUGAAGGUUUUGGAUUCGAAAAAGUUUGUACAAAACCGUUUCCCACCAAGUACAACUCCGAAGCCCGUUCCAAAGAAAUUCUGCAUGCAAGAAAUUCCCAAGUAAAUUGGAACUGCUUAUCCUAAUGAGCAUGUCACUUCUUAUGUAUGCAUAAUAAAGGGAAAUGACUUAGAAGAUGAUGAAAUUGAAUAUGUUCUAUUGAAAAUAUUUGGAGAAACUUUAUCGAAUGGGGAAAUGAUAUGGUACCCCAAUUUGCCGCCCAAUUCUAUUGAUUCUUUCACCAUGCUUGCUAAUUCGUUCGUAAAAGGCACACGCUUGAGCAAUAAAGGUCGCAACUAGAAAAUCAGACCUCUUCAAAGUGAGACAAAAGGACAAUGAAAUUUUACGAGAAUUAAUAUCACGAUUCCAGAUGGAACACAUCGACCUACCCUCGAUUACCGAUGAUUGGGUUGUCCAAGCCUUUACUCAGGGUUUGAACGAGUGAAGUUAUGUAGCAUCACAUCAACUAAAGCAAUUUUUGAUUGAAUAUCCAGCGUUGACUUGGGCCGAUAUGAAUAAUCGAUACCAGUCAAAGAUCAAAGUCGAGGAUGAUUAGUUAUGAGCCCCUUUCGGUUCUGUUUACCCAAAUAGAUCUGAAGGCAGAAUUCAAAGAGACACCGAUAGGGAUCCCCCAUCAAAUAGAUAUCAGUAACAAUCAUAUAACAUCGCAAAUCGGGACGUAAUCCUAUUUGAAAUGAUCGAGAUCAAAAUUCUGAGGCUCAUAAGUAAGAGUGGCUUCGAUAAAAAUGUUGAGCCUAAAAAAUUUCCAUGGUUAUCGGAAUACAACUUCAAGUAUUGUGUCAGCCAUUGGAUGAAUCAAUGAUACUAGGUGGCCCAGACCCCUAUAGGCCGAUCCAGCUCAAAGGAGUCCAAAUCAAAUGUGUAAGUUCCAUGGAACCCAUGGUCACAGAACCAAAGACUGCAGACAAUUAAGGGAGGAUGUAGCUCGUUUAUUAAAUUAGGGUCACCUUCAAGAGUUCUUGAGUGACCAAGCUAAAAUCACUUCAAAGACAGGGACGAACGAACAGGAAGAACCGCAUUACAUGAUUUGUAUGAUCGUUGGUGGGGUCGAUGUUCCUCAAGGCCCGAUAUCCAAACGAACCAAAGUGACAGUCACAAGGAAGAAACAUACUCGGGAUUACAUACCAUAGGAUACCUUAUCUUUCAACGAUGAGUAUGUAGAGGGAACCGAACUACCUCACAGCAACACACUAGUAAUAUCUAUCAUUAGAAAUAAAAUUCAAGUUAAACAUGUGUUGGUUGAUCCAGGUAGCUCAACAAACAUCUGUGAUGUUCCAAAAGGGCAUCACUUGAUUUACGAGUAAAUUCUGUAUUUUGAGGCCCUAUAAGCCUCAUUUUUCCUCACUUCGAUUUGCGUUCAUGUUUCGGGCGUAUAUCUGGAAUGUUUUUAUGUGGAAAUGAAAAUAUUAAUUUGGCCUUUAAUAUUGAUUUAAGUUGACUUUAGUUAAUAUUUUGGGCAAACGGACCCAAACCCGUAAUUUAAUAAUCCUAAAGGGUUCAUAGGAAAAUAUGAGACUUAGGCCUAUGCCUGGAAUUGAAUUCCGAAGCCCCAAGUUCGAGAAAUAAAUUUUUAAAGAAAAUUAAUUCUAGAAAAUAUAUAAGUUUUUGGAAAUGAAAUAUGUUUUGGAGUUUGAUGGUAUCGGGCCCUUAUUUUAGUUCCGGUGUUCGGUACAAGUCUUAUAUGUUAUUUAGGUUGAGACUGUAAAAUUUGGUAAGAAAUGAAAGUCGUUUGAUGUGAUUCGAACUUGUAGUUGUGAAAUUGAAUACUUUGAAAGUUUUUAGAUUUUUCCUUGAUUUUGAUACUAAAUUCAUAGUUGUUGAUGUUAUUUUGGAAAUUUGAUCGUACGAGCAAGUCCGUAUGAUGUUUUGGGUUAGUGUACAUGUUUGGGUUGGAGCCACAAAGGCUCAGGUGAGUUUUGGAUAUGCCACAAAGUGAAAUUUGGACUUAGGAAUUUCUGGUAUGUUGCAGGUCUGCAGGCUUCGCAAAUGCGAGCCCACAAAUACGAAGCUUUCAUUGCAAAAGUGAUAUCACAAAUGCGAAUUCCCCUUCGUCAAAAUGCUCUAAACUCCCCAUAAUCAUAAAAAUGAGUUUGGAAUUGUGAACAUUAAUUGGAAAUGCAAUGGUAGCAGGUCCUGAAUGCGAACCCUGGUCGCAAUUGCGACAUCUGCAACCUGCAAAUUCAUAAUUUAGCCGAAAAUUCUUCAUUUUUCAAACACUUUCAAAACCAAAACACUCUUGGGUGAUUUUUCAAAGACAAAUACUCUUCCAAAUCGAUUGUAAGUCAUUUAUAACUCAUUUUCUUCAAUCUUGAGCAUCGUUUCUUAUGAUUUCAUCUCAAAUCAAAGGUUUUCAUGGGGGAAAAUUGGGUGUUUUCUGUAGAACCUAGGUUUUUUAGAUUUUGAGAAUUUGGACCUUGAUUUGAGGUUUGAUUUCAAAAAAAGUUGUAUAUUUGGGUUUGUGGGGGAAUGCGUAAUCGAGUUUUGGUUCGAACCUCGGGUUUUGAUCAUAUGGGCCCGGGGCCAUUUUUGACUUUUUGGGAAAUACUUUAGAAAACCUAUUUUCAUGUAUUGGAAUUAAUUCAUUUAGCAUUUAUUAUAUAGUUAAGUAACUUGUGGCUAGAUACGAGCGAAUUGGUGGUGGAAUCAAGAGGUAAAGCAGUAGUUGAGAAUUGAAUUGUGUUCGUAGCAUCGAGGUAGGUGUUUGGUCUUACCUUAGCUUGAGGGAUUAGGAGUUUUGUCCUAUUUGCUAUGUGAUAUUUGUCGAGUACGACGUAUAAGCAUGGUGACGAGUAUCUAUACAGUGGAGUCAUGCAUGCUCGUGAGUCUUAUUCUAUGAUUAAUAUGACUCCAUUUGUAUUGUUCAUGACUUAUGUGAUGAUUUCUGUUGUUAUGACAUAGGGUCGGUUGUGCUAGAUCUGAUACUUGAGCUUACCGACUGUUGCUUUAGGUGACUGCCUUCAGUCCAUUCGGAGAUCCAAUAUAGUCAUUCAGGCAUCCGUAGGUCCUGACGUCUCCCUUUAUCCUUUCAUCCUGUUUCAUUUACGUAUUUCAAAAAUAGUGUUGUAUUUAUUUUUUUAGACCCUGUCUGCACUAUUCUUAGAUCGUCUGUGAAGUUGUGACACCAGUUCUAGGUUGUCUUUAUUUGAGAAAUUGUAUUAGAAAUAUUUAAAUGGUUUUAUUUGUUUUUUUUUGCUUGUUUAAAUUCUACUGUUUAUAAACUGUUGGUUCAUAAUUGUCAACGGAUUAAAAUGGAAAAAAGGUAAAUUGUUCAAAUGGUUGGUUUGCCUAGCUUUCACUAGUAGGCGCCAUCACGACUUCCAAGGGUGGGAAAUCUAGGUCGUGACAAGUUGGUAUCAGAGCUCUAGGUUACAUAAGUCUCAUAAUUCACAAACAAGCUUAGUAGAGUCUGAGGGAUUGGUAUGAAGAUAUCUGUAUUUAUCCCCCAUAGGCUAAAGAGUUAGGAAUAAACUUCACAUUUAUGCUUUCCUAUCGUGCGAUUUGGUUUCUCAAUGCUAACUGAAUUUCUACUCUAUUCUUUCGCAAAUGGUGAGAACACACACUUUCUCAUCCACUGAUCAGCAACCCGAGUACCCAACAGCAACUCCCAUGAGGGAUAGAGGGCGAGGAUGAGGACGAGACUAUGUUAGAGGCCGAGGUAGGGCCAGAGCUUAGCCUAGAGCAGCAGCACUAGCCGCGGAGCCUCGGGUUGAGUUUGAUGAUGAGGUUCCAGCCCAAGUAGUUCCGGUAGGCCCAGAUCAGGUUCUAGAGGGGUUCAUUGAUACCUCAGUACUUUAGGAUGCUCUGGUCCGUUUAGUGGGCCUUAUGGAGAGUGUCGCUCAGACAUGCUUGCUUCCUGUAGCACCAACCAUCUCUCAGGCUGGGGGAGGAGCCCAUACUCCUACUAUUCGCACUCCGGAGCAGAUGGCUCCCCUGUUUCAGACUCCGGCAGCUCAGCCAAUUGGAGUCGUUCAGCCGGGUGUGAUAGCUCAGACCAAUGAUGGAACAACUAUGUCUGCUUAUGCCUUGUGGAGAUUGGAUAGGUUUACCAAGCUCUUCACUACCACUUUAAGCGGUGCAUCUUUUGAGGAUUCCGAAAAUUAUGUAAACAACUGUCAUGAGGUUCUCAGGAAUAUGGGGAUAGUAGAGACCAAUGUGGUCGACUUUGCUACUUUUCGCUUAUCCGGAUAUGCGAAGACUUCGUGGAGGGAUUAUUGUUUGGCUAGACCAGUUGGGUCACCAACUUUGACUUGGAAUUAGUUUUCUCAGCUAUUUUUGGAGAAGUUUCUUCCUAUCACUCAGACAGAGAUAUAUCAGAGGCAGUUUGAGUAUCUACAGUAGGGUUUUAUGACUAUUACUCAGUACAAGACUAGGUGUAUUGAUUUGGCCUAUCAUGCUCUUCUUAUACUUCCCACAAAGAGAGAGAGCGAGAGAAAGAGAU
Molecule: long non-coding RNA, 17570 nt
Filed under: Nicotiana benthamiana
Lineage: Eukaryota; Viridiplantae; Streptophyta; Magnoliopsida; Solanales; Solanaceae
Description: long non-coding RNA (NBEN_LNC016762)
Source: RNAcentral